Molecule: ribosomal RNA, 253 nt
Filed under: uncultured bacterium
Lineage: Bacteria
Description: partial 16S ribosomal RNA
Rfam family: Bacterial small subunit ribosomal RNA
Source: RNAcentral
UACGUAGGGUGCUAGCGUUGUCCGGAAUUAUUGGGCGUAAAGAGUUCGUAGGCGGUCUGUCGCGUCUGCUGUGAAAACUCGGGGCUUAACCCCGGGCCUGCAGUGGGUACGGGCAGACUAGAGUGCGGUAGGGGAGACUGGAAUUCCUGGUGUAGCGGUGAAAUGCGCAGAUAUCAGGAGGAACACCGGUGGCGAAGGCGGGUCUCUGGGCCGUAACUGACGCUGAGGAGCGAAAGCAUGGGGAGCGAACAGG